This 1244-nucleotide ribosomal RNA is filed under the name metagenome. Its description in RNAcentral is "bacterial LSU rRNA". It matches the Rfam family "Bacterial large subunit ribosomal RNA", at positions 1564 to 2815 of the family's 2925-position model. The record is from RNAcentral.
UGAGUACGAGAUGCUACGGCAUCGAAGCAGUCUAUGUCAUACUUCCAAGAAAAGCUUGCAAUGUCAUAAACAAAUAAUGCCUGUACCAUAACCGACACAGGUGGGUAGGUAGAGUAUACUAAGGGGCGCGAGAUAACUCUCUCUAAGGAACUCGGCAAAAUGACUCCGUAACUUCGGGAGAAGGAGUGCCUUAUUUUUAUAAGGUUGCAAUAACAAGAUCCAAGCAACUGUUUACCAAAAACACAGGUCUCCGCUAAGUCGUAAGACGAUGUAUGGGGGCUGACGCCUGCCCAGUGCCAGAAGGUUAAAGAAGUUGGUUAGCAUUAGCGAAGCUGAUAACUGAAGCCCUGGUGAACGGCGGCCGUAACAAUAACGGUCCUAAGGUAGCGAAAUUCCUUGUCGGGUAAGUUCCGACCCGCACGAAAGGCGUAAUGAUUUGGAUACUGUCUCGGAGAGGGGCUCGGUGAAAUAGACUUGUCUGUGAAGAUGCGGACUACCUGCACCUGGACAGAAAGACCCUAUGAAGCUUUACUGUAACUUGAGAUUGAAAUUGGACUUUAUCUGCGCAGUAUAGGUGGGAGACGUUGAAAAUAUUCUUGCGGGAAUAUUGGAGUCAUCAGUGAGAUACCACUCUUAUAAUGUUAGAUUUCUAACUUUGUAUCAUUAACUGGUCAAAGAACAGUUUCAGGCGGGCAGUUUGACUGGGGCGGUCGCCUCCCAAACGGUAACGGAGGCGCACAAAGGUUUCCUCUGAACGUGUAGAAAUCGUAUCUAGAGUGUAAAGGCAUAAGGAAGCUUGACUGUGAGACCUACAAGUCGAGCAGGGACGAAAGUCGGUCUUAGUGAUCUGACGGUGCUGAGUGGAAAGGCCGUCACUCAACGGAUAAAAGUUACUCUAAGGAUAACAGGCUGAUCUCCCCCAAGAGUUCACAUCGACGGGGAGGUUUGGCACCUCGAUGUCGGCUCAUCGCAUCCUGGGGCGGUAGUACGUCCCAAGGGUUGGGCUGUUCGCCCAUGAAAGCGGUACGCGAGCUGGGUUCAGAACGUCGUGAGACAGUUCGGUCCAUAUCCGGUGUAGGCGUUAGAAUAUUGAGAGGAGCCUUCUUUAGUACGAGAGGACCGAGAAGGACAUACCUCUGGUGUACCAGUUAUCGUGCCAACGGUAAACGCUGGGUAGCCAUGUAUGGAGAGGAUAACCGCUGAAAGCAUCUAAGUGGGAAGCCCACCUCAAGAUAAGUAUUCGC